GUCCAGACUCCUACGGGAGGCAGCAGUGGGGAAUAUUGCACAAUGGGGGAAACCCUGAUGCAGCGACGCCGCGUGAGUGAAGAAGUAUUUCGGUAUGUAAAGCUCUAUCAGCAGGGAAGAAAAUGACGGUACCUGAUUAAGAAGCCCCGGCUAACUACGUGCCAGCAGCCGCGGUAAUACGUAGGGGGCAAGCGUUAUCCGGAUUUACUGGGUGUAAAGGGAGCGUAGACGGCAGCGCAAGUCUGAAGUGAAAUGCCGGGGCUUAACCCCGGAACUGCUUUGGAAACUGUGCAGCUAGAGUGCAGGAGAGGUAAGUGGAAUUCCUAGUGUAGCGGUGAAAUGCGUAGAUAUUAGGAGGAACACCAGUGGCGAAGGCGGCUUGCUGGGCUUUUACUGACGCUGAGGCUCGAAAGCGUGGGGAGCAAACAGGAUUAGAUACCCGAGUAUAC
RNAcentral lists this ribosomal RNA (449 nucleotides) under uncultured bacterium. RNAcentral describes it as "bacterial SSU rRNA". It matches the Rfam family "Bacterial small subunit ribosomal RNA", at positions 329 to 795 of the family's 1533-position model. The record is from RNAcentral.